AGCCAUACCGCGUGGGUGAAGAAGGCCUUCGGGUUGUAAAGCCCUUUUGUUGGGAAAGAAAAGCAUCCGGUUAAUACCCGGGUGUUCUGACGGUACCCAAAGAAUAAGCACCGGCUAACUUCGUGCCAGCAGCCGCGGUAAUACGAAGGGUGCAAGCGUUACUCGGAAUUACUGGGCGUAAAGCGUGCGUAGGUGGUGAUUUAAGUCCGUUGUGAAAGCCCUGGGCUCAACCUGGGAAUUGCAGUGGAUACUGGGUCACUAGAGUGUGGUAGAGGAUAGUGGAAUUUCCGGUGUAGCAGUGAAAUGCGUAGAGAUCGGAAGGAACAUCUGUGGCGAAGGCGACUAUCUGGGCCAACACUGACACUGAGGCACGAAAGCGUGGGGAGCAAACAGGAUUA
Molecule: ribosomal RNA, 398 nt
Filed under: Pseudoxanthomonas sp.
Lineage: Bacteria; Pseudomonadati; Pseudomonadota; Gammaproteobacteria; Lysobacterales; Lysobacteraceae
Description: bacterial SSU rRNA
Rfam family: Bacterial small subunit ribosomal RNA
Source: RNAcentral